RNAcentral lists this non-coding RNA (29 nucleotides) under Rattus norvegicus (Norway rat). Lineage: Eukaryota; Metazoa; Chordata; Mammalia; Rodentia; Muridae. The record is from RNAcentral.
GCUAGAGUCAUAGAAGAGGGAUCCUCAAU